This 246-nucleotide ribosomal RNA is filed under the name uncultured bacterium. RNAcentral describes it as "partial 16S ribosomal RNA". It matches the Rfam family "Bacterial small subunit ribosomal RNA", at positions 531 to 776 of the family's 1533-position model. The record is from RNAcentral.
GGGGCAAGCGUUGUUCGGAAUUACUGGGCGUAAAGGGUGCGCAGGCGGCGUCGCAAGUCAGGCGUGAAAUCCCCGGGCUUAACCUGGGAACUGCACUUGAAACUACGAUGCUGGAGUAUGGCAGAGGGGGGUGGAAUUCCACGUGUAGCGGUGAAAUGCGUAGAGAUGUGGAGGAACACCGAUGGCGAAGGCAGCCUCCUGGGCCAAUACUGACGCUCAUGCACGAAAGCGUGGGGAGCAAACAGG